RNAcentral lists this ribosomal RNA (608 nucleotides) under Paracoccidioides brasiliensis. RNAcentral's name for it is "eukaryotic LSU rRNA". It matches the Rfam family "Eukaryotic large subunit ribosomal RNA", at positions 149 to 773 of the family's 3401-position model. The record is from RNAcentral. Lineage: Eukaryota; Fungi; Ascomycota; Eurotiomycetes; Onygenales; Ajellomycetaceae.
UUUGUAGAGGAUGCUUCGGGCGUGGCCGCGGUCUAAGUCCCCUGGAACGGGGCGUCGCAGAGGGUGAGAAUCCCGUCUUCGGCCGGCCGGCCCCGCCCGUGUGAAGCUCCUUCGACGAGUCGAGUUGUUUGGGAAUGCAGCUCUAAAUGGGUGGUAAAUUUCAUCUAAAGCUAAAUACUGGUCGGAGACCGAUAGCGCACAAGUAGAGUGAUCGAAAGAUGAAAAGCACUUUGAAAAGAGAGUUAAACAGCAUGUGAAAUUGUUGAAAGGGAAGCGCUUGCGACCAGAGUCGGCCGCGGGGGCUCAGCGGGCACUCGUUGCCCGUGCACUCCCCCGUGGUCGGGCCAGCGUCGGUUUCGACGGCCGGUCAAAGGCCCCCGGAAUGUGUCGCCUCUCGGGGCGUCUUAUAGCCGGGGGUGCAAUGCGGCCAGUCGGGACCGAGGAACGCGCUCCGGCACGGACGCUGGCUUAAUGGUCGUAAGCGACCCGUCUUGAAACACGGACCAAGGAGUCUAACAUCCACGCGAGUGUUCGGGUGUCAAACCCGUCCGCGCAGUGAAAGCGAACGGAGGUGGGAACCCUCAAGGGUGCACCAUCGACCGAUCCUG